RNAcentral lists this small RNA (79 nucleotides) under Salmonella enterica. RNAcentral describes it as "partial RtT sRNA". It matches the Rfam family "RtT RNA", at positions 1 to 78 of the family's 130-position model. Rfam says of the family: This family represents a bacterial cis-regulatory element known as RtT RNA. The exact function of RtT is unknown although it is thought that it may be involved in changing the cellular response in relation to amino acid starvation. The record is from RNAcentral. Lineage: Bacteria; Pseudomonadati; Pseudomonadota; Gammaproteobacteria; Enterobacterales; Enterobacteriaceae.
AUUCUACCCAUGUGGGGAAGGAUGAGAAGCUUCGACUAAGGUUCGAUUCGAGCGCAGCGAGAAAGCGUUGCCGCAGGCA